AAUAAUCAUAAAACAUUUUAUUUUGUAAGUCAAUAGAAUCGCUUUCGAGAACAGGCAUUCUGAAGCAUUCAGGUUUAUUAGAAUAUCGAAACAGGAAUCGCAAUUUUAGUAUAAAUUAGCUUCCAAUACUCCAUGAUGGUACAUUCAGUCGUUCACCUUUAGACAGACACCACCUAGAAAGAUCUUUCGACUGCUGCUUAUUGUGUCGGCUUUGAUUGCCUGUGCGUAUGCCAGACCAUUAGAUGAUGCCCACGCAACCGGACAGGGUUACAGCUAUCCCAAACCUAUUGGUAGCUACUUUUAUCCAUCUACUACCGCAAAUGGAAUCUCUGCGCAGGAACAGGGAGUUGUUGGCAAGCGUGUCACUGGUAGUUACUAUUACUACACCCCAGAGGGCGAACUGAUCAAGAUUACAUAUAUUGCCGAUGUGAUUGGAUACCAGCCACAAAUCACCACUCAGAGUUUAAGUCCUUGUACUGCCAAAUCCCUCUGUCGAUAAUAAGAUCAUUCAUUUUAGUGCUUUAAAAUAAAAAUAAAAAAGUUGAUCAGUGUAA
Molecule: long non-coding RNA, 554 nt
Organism: Drosophila mojavensis
Lineage: Eukaryota; Metazoa; Arthropoda; Insecta; Diptera; Drosophilidae
Exons: 2
Source: RefSeq, a predicted model, not a curated record